GUUAGGAAUAUUGGACAAUGGGCGAAAGCCUGAUCCAGCCAUGCCGCGUGAACGAUGAAGGCCUUUGGGUUGUAAAGUUCUUUAGCCGAUGAUUAUAAUGACUGUAGUCGGAAAAUAAGCCCCGGCUAACUUCGUGCCAGCAGCCGCGGUAAUACGAAGGGGGCGAGCGUUAUUCGGAAUCACUGGGCGUAAAGCGUGCGUAGGCGGUUUUGUAAGUUAGGAGUGAAAGCCCAGGGCUCAACCUUGGAAUUGCUCUUAAAACUGCAAGGCUCGAAUCUCGGAGAGGAUAGCGGAAUUUCCAGUGUAGCAGUGAAAUGCGUAGAUAUUGGAAGGAACACCAGUGGCGUAAGCGGCUAUCUGGACGAGUAUUGACGCUGAGGCACGAAAGCGUGGGGAUCAAACAGGAUUAGAAACCCCAGUAGUCC
RNAcentral lists this ribosomal RNA (425 nucleotides) under uncultured bacterium. RNAcentral's name for it is "partial 16S ribosomal RNA". It matches the Rfam family "Bacterial small subunit ribosomal RNA", at positions 354 to 796 of the family's 1533-position model. The record is from RNAcentral.